AAUGAACGCUGGCGGCGCGCCUAAUACAUGCAAGUCGAGCGAGAAGACGUAGCAAUACGUUUGUAAAGCGGCGAACGGGUGAGGAAUACAUGGGUAACCUACCCUAGAGUGGGGAAUAACUAGCCGAAAGGUUAGCUAAUACCGCGUACGCUCCUUGGACUUCGGUUCAGGGAGGAAAGCGAUGCCGAGGGUAUCGCGCUCUUGGAUGGGCUCAUGUCCUAUCAGCUUGNGGUGAGGUAACGGCUCACCAAGGCUUCGACGGGUAGCUGGUCUGAGAGGACGAUCAGCCACACUGGGACUGAGACACGGGCCCAGACUCCUACGGGAGGCAGCAGUGGGGAAUAUUGGACAAUGGGCGCAAGCCUGAUCCAGCGAUGCCGCGUGUGUGAAGAAGGCCUGCGGGUUGUAAAGCACUUUCAGUA
Molecule: ribosomal RNA, 422 nt
Filed under: uncultured bacterium
Lineage: Bacteria
Description: bacterial SSU rRNA
Rfam family: Bacterial small subunit ribosomal RNA
Source: RNAcentral